UUCCCGUGCUGCAACUGAAUCACACCGGCCGAGGCGCUCUACGGCGGCGACGGCGUGCGCCGCCGCAAUCCGCCCCAAUCCUGCGGGGUCUGUCCGACUGCUCCGGCCACCCCCUCUUCAACCACCCGGCCCUCCUCCAGCCGGCAUACCCCGUGGGACCGGCCUCCUCCGCUGCCCUCCUUCAACGCCGGUGCGUUUCUCCGCGGCGCGCGCGGAUGGGCGGGCUGCAGUACGCGGAGGCGUUUCGAUCAGUACCCGCCUGCCGUUCAGCCGGAGUAGCCCCAGCCAUGGCCGACGGGCUCGGCGGCCCCCCUCCCCUCCCCUCCCUGCACCGCGGACAUCCAUGCAGGGACUUGAACUCAUGGACAUGGCAUCAUCCUUAUUACAAUAGACAUCCUUGGCCGGCAGAAGUAUGGUGACGCAAAGAACCUGGCCACCGCCUGCUCCCUGCAUCGGCAAGCAAGCGACAGAGCUUCCAACAGGCGGAAAUGCGUGCGUGUUUAUGACACAACUGAAGUUCAUAGACCACCUAGUGAUGACUACAAGCACUGAAGCGAGUCGAAAGCGUGCCGCCGUCAUCGCCCCUUCCUCACGGGAACAUGGCAAACUUGUUGUAGUAGACAGUCAGGAAGUCAUCAUGCUAAGGUUCCAUAGGACCCGCGCACCAGAACAGCAAUCGCCGCUGAUGAAGAGUAGCAUUGAUCUGAAGGAUUCAACCUGAAGACACACGAACAUAAACGAACAACGAACAUAUCCAAGCAAAUCCACCAAAGGCAGAUCGCCAGAGACACACCUCCACACGCCCACCGAUGAUACUGGUUGGGGGUUCUCUUUACUGGUUGCUCAGUGGGGGUUCGGGUGGGAUCCUUGAAUUUGAGAUGGAUAGGCAAAGACUAAUUGUGAUACCUAUGCCAGUAAAUGACCUCGGGUUUUUCCAAUUGUCGCUGAUACGGGCAGAUGGCCGUGGAAUUGGUCUCCUCAUUUUAUCAGGCUUCAGUGCCCAAUUUUCGAAGAGAAGGACCAAUUGUGAAGGUGUUGCUUCAUGGGUGUUGGGAAGAACCAUUGAAAUUGACCAGCUACUUCACUUGGAAGCAGAGGAGAUGGGGACUCAAAUGAUACUAGGGUUUGUUGAGGACAAUAAUGUGGUUCUCUUGUGGACAAUUAAUGGUCUUGUCAUGUUACAGCUUGAGUCACUACAGUUUGAGAAAGUCUUGGGAAUCAACAUCAUCGCUUACAAUCACUCAUUCGAAAGUGUCUAUACUGCAGAAACAGGCAUUGGUGGUGGACAUGAUGGAGCUGAUCUUUUGCACAGGACAUAAGAUUUUUUUACCGGUUAGAUAUGCUAUUGUGAUGGGUUGAGCAGGAGUCUGGAAUUACAUUCCUGUGGCAGAUGCAGAAAUGGCUUUUCUGCUGUAGGUUCAUCCAGUUUAUAUGCUAUGCAGGUCUUCUAUAGACAUUAGUCAGCUGGCAUGAAGACACCAUGACUUAUUUGGAUUAAUGAUUGGCAUUGGCCCUGUCUGUUAAUCUCCCCUUACAUUUAUGCUUGCAAACGCUGAGGCAAGCUGAAGUCUUAUGUCCUAUGUUGUGUCUGGUCGAGAUCGCAACUUGUAAUCUCUGCUUAAGCUUUGUCCUGUGAUGUUACUUCUUUUUUUGCGUGUGUGCAUCACUUCUUUUUUUGCGUGUGUGUGCAUACGCUUGGGUUCGUACUAUUAGAUAUAAAUUUGUGUGUCAAAAAGAUAGCGAUGCUGCAGUGAUGGUAUUA
Long non-coding RNA from Triticum dicoccoides, 1762 nucleotides. RefSeq lists it as uncharacterized. The transcript is spliced from 5 exons. Lineage: Eukaryota; Viridiplantae; Streptophyta; Magnoliopsida; Poales; Poaceae. The record is from RefSeq and is a predicted model, not a curated record.